Molecule: non-coding RNA, 551 nt
Organism: Labrus bergylta (ballan wrasse)
Lineage: Eukaryota; Metazoa; Chordata; Actinopteri; Labriformes; Labridae
Source: RefSeq, a predicted model, not a curated record
UUCUGUCCUCUUUGUGUUUCAGUACGAGUACGCUCUGAGACAUCUGUAGCUCUGGUCAACCUGUGUGAGAGAGGAUACUCUGCAGACAGCAUCCAGACGGCCAUGGACGCCACGUGUCACUUCAGAGAGUAAAGGACUUUCUGCAAACCAAUGAAAAAUCUCAAACCAAACGUCUUCCUGCGUGGAAGGCCCAGAAGACGACCAGCUUCUCUUUGCACUGCUUAGGAAUCAAUCUGACAUGGAGUUGACCGUAUCAUUAUUUUAUCAACACACUAACACUUUUUUUUUUUUUUUUUUACUUGAGAAUUUUAAACUUGUUUUAUGAUGAGAUGCACUCUUGCUGUGAAGAUUGUUGGAUAUUUAACUGCUUCUGAUUGUUUUGAGGACACAAUGAUUGCAUGGACUGUUGAACAUUUGGUUUGCUCUCAGCUUUACGUGUUUCAUGCACAUGUGAAGGACAAACUACUGAACAGAGAAUGUUUUCUGAAACCUCAAGACAUGUAGUAACAGGGAUCUUAAAAUCCUAAAUAAAUCAACCAAAACUCUGAAAA